This 856-nucleotide long non-coding RNA is filed under the name Marmota monax (woodchuck). The record is from RNAcentral. Lineage: Eukaryota; Metazoa; Chordata; Mammalia; Rodentia; Sciuridae.
AUUUAUCUGAGCAGAACUUUGCAUUAAAAGAAGGAAUUGGUACUGAGAAAAUGCUUCUGGAGGACAAAGUUCAGAUACAUUAACAUCAGCAACCCGACUGUAUUAAAGCUGUUUCAAACGCACUAUUAUAGGCUCUGAAAUUCAUGUAUGUUUAUGAGACUGACAGUUGUUUCUGUGUCUGGUGCUUCACUUUAGAAAUACACGCUUAAAUGACUCAAAAGUCAUCUCUCUCAGGUUCAGAUUAUUUUGGUUUAGAGAUAAUUACACUUCCCUGUCAUUUUUACAAAGUUUCUGUUAUAAAUGAAAUAUUUUUUGAAAAGCAUGUUGAAAACUGUAAAAACAACUAUAAGUGAAAAAGCAGUAAAAGAACAAGGUAUCACCUCAAAUACUCUGGAACUUGAUUUUUAGGAGGCACAGGCAUAGGCAACAUUUACACUCACUCCCACCCUCACACUUAACGUACAUAUCUAAAUUCCAAAGUGUAUGAUGUUAUAUUACUUUGAUUUAUUUUUUAUCUUACUUUAUCUUAGCUAACAUUUUAACAUUGUUAUAUAGCAAAAUUGCAUAUUAUAUGAAAUAUAAUAUGCCAUAUAAUGUUUUUCUGUGGACUGUGAUCUGAUUUUUUGGUAUGUAACAAAAAUAAAUGCUUUGUGGGUCAUUGUAUUGUUUUAUUAUGACUUUAUUCUUGGGUUCAAACCCUAUCUUAAACAUAUGACUUUGAAUUUGAGUAUGGGCAUAUAAUGAGCAUCUUUACAAAAUGAGUUCAUAUUUCAUCUUUACACUAGGAGUGUUUACAAUCUAAUUUUAAAAAAAUGAUUUAAAUAAAACUCAUCAUAUUUUAUGUGGCUUAGACUAU